RNAcentral lists this ribosomal RNA (273 nucleotides) under uncultured soil bacterium. RNAcentral's name for it is "partial 16S ribosomal RNA". It matches the Rfam family "Bacterial small subunit ribosomal RNA", at positions 26 to 282 of the family's 1533-position model. The record is from RNAcentral.
AGAAUCAACGCUGGCGGCGUGCCUCAGACAUGCAAGUCGAACGCGAAAGUUCCCUUCGGGGGAUGAGUAGAGUGGCGCACGGGUGAGUAACACGUAGGUAAUCUACCUUUGGAUGGGGAAUAACAACCGGAAACGGUUGCUAAUACCGCAUAAUGCAGCGGCACCUAAUGGUGACAGUUGUUAAAGCGGGGGAUCGAAAGACCUCGCGUCUGAAGAGGAGCCUGCGGCGGAUUAGCUAGUUGGUAGGGUAACGGCCUACCAAGGCUACGAUCC